AGAGUUUGAUUAUGGCUCAGGAUGAACGCUGGCGGCGUGCUUAACACAUGCAAGUCGAACGGGCUCAUAUUGAAACCUAGUGAUGUAUGAGUUAGUGGCGGACGGGUGAGUAACGCGUGGAGAACCUGCCGUAUACUGGGGGAUAACACUUAGAAAUAGGUGCUAAUACCGCAUAAGCGCACAGCUUCGCAUGAAGCAGUGUGAAAAACUCCGGUGGUAUACGAUGGAUCCGCGUCUGAUUAGCUGGUUGGCGGGGUAACAGCCCACCAAGGCGACGAUCAGUAGCCGGCCUGAGAGGGUGAACGGCCACAUUGGGACUGAGACACGGCCCAAACUCCUACGGGAGGCAGCAGUGGGGAAUAUUGCACAAUGGGGGAAACCCUGAUGCAGCGACGCCGCGUGAGUGAAGAAGUAUUUCGGUAUGUAAAGCUCUAUCAGCAUGGAAGAAAAUGACGGUACCUGACUAAGAAGCCCCGGCUAACUACCUGCCAGCAGCCGCGGUAAUACGUAAGGGGCAAGCGUUAUCCGGAUUUACUGGGUGUAAAAGGAGCCGUA
This 555-nucleotide ribosomal RNA is filed under the name uncultured bacterium. RNAcentral describes it as "bacterial SSU rRNA". It matches the Rfam family "Bacterial small subunit ribosomal RNA", at positions 8 to 573 of the family's 1533-position model. The record is from RNAcentral.